RNAcentral lists this ribosomal RNA (361 nucleotides) under Ixodes ricinus (castor bean tick). RNAcentral's name for it is "partial 16S ribosomal RNA". The stretch from base 66 to 361 matches the Rfam family "Bacterial large subunit ribosomal RNA", at positions 2078 to 2619 of the family's 2925-position model. Lineage: Eukaryota; Metazoa; Arthropoda; Arachnida; Ixodida; Ixodidae. The record is from RNAcentral.
AAAAGCUUUCUUUAAUUGAAUAAUUGAAUUUAAUUUUUUAGUGCAAAAGCAAAAAUAAAAAUUAGGGACAAGAAGACCCUAUGAAUUUUUUAUUAAAUUUUAUAAAACUUUAUAUAAAGUUUAAUUUAAUUGGGGUGAUGGAAAAAGAAUAAAUAUCUUUUUUUUAAAGAAAAUUGGUUCCGUUUUUAGCGAUUAAAUGAAAAAAAUACUCUAGGGAUAACAGCGUAAUAAUUUUGGAUAGUUCAUAUAGAUAAAAUAGUUUGCGACCUCGAUGUUGGAUUAGGAUUCUUUUUUGGUGAAGAAGUUAAAAAAAGAAGUUUGUUCAACUUAUAAUUUCCUACUUGAUCUGAGUUCAGACCGG